UCAGUCCCGAGAAAAGGACGGUCUAUUUUUCGCGCCCAAAAUCAGUGGUUGAAAAUGAGCAGCAAGAACGAGAUGAGCCGCCGCAUUGCCGCGGUCGCCAAGAAGAAACGGGCCAAAAAGCCUAAAAACAAUCGGCCUCCUCCUAACAAGGCCAAAGAGACCAAUGACAACAACUCGGCCAGGGGAAGCUCCCUCGGCCCCUCCCCCACCCCUGAUUCCGCCGCCAUUUCUACUCCUCCUUCUACUGGUGGUGGAGGUGGAGGUGAAGGUGGUGGAGGUGGAAGGAAGGCACCACGAGGAGGGAUAGGUGACGCGUGUAAGGGCAGGCCAGGUGAUCACAGGUAACGUAAGGUGUGCU
This is a long non-coding RNA of Eriocheir sinensis (Chinese mitten crab), 358 nucleotides long. RefSeq lists it as uncharacterized. NCBI's taxonomy places the organism in Eukaryota, Metazoa, Arthropoda, Malacostraca, Decapoda, Varunidae. The transcript is spliced from 3 exons. The record is from RefSeq and is a predicted model, not a curated record.